UACGUAGGUGGCAAGCGUUGUCCGGAUUUAUUGGGUUUAAAGGGUGCGUAGGCGGCCUUGUAAGUCAGUGGUGAAAUACUCCAGCUUAACUGGAGGGGUGCCAAUGAUACUGCAGGGCUUGAGUACAGAUGAGGUAGGCGGAAUUGACGGUGUAGCGGUGAAAUGCAUAGAUAUCGUCAAGAACACCUAUAGCGAAGGCAGCUUACUGGGCUGUAACUGACGCUGAGACACGAAAGUGUGGGGAUCAAACAGG
RNAcentral lists this ribosomal RNA (253 nucleotides) under uncultured bacterium. RNAcentral describes it as "partial 16S ribosomal RNA". It matches the Rfam family "Bacterial small subunit ribosomal RNA", at positions 524 to 776 of the family's 1533-position model. The record is from RNAcentral.